This 482-nucleotide ribosomal RNA is filed under the name uncultured bacterium. RNAcentral's name for it is "partial 16S ribosomal RNA". It matches the Rfam family "Bacterial small subunit ribosomal RNA", at positions 30 to 507 of the family's 1533-position model. The record is from RNAcentral.
AUUGAACGCUGGCGGCAUGCCUUACACAUGCAAGUCGAACGGUAACGGGCCUUCGGGUGCCGACGAGCGGCGAGCGGGUGAGUAAUACAUCGGAACGUGCCCGAUCGUGGGGGAUAACGAGGCGAAAGCUUUGCUAAUACCGCAUACGAUCUACGGAUGAAAGCAGGGGACCGCAAGGCCUUGCGCGGACGGAGCGGCCGAUGGCAGAUUAGGUAGUUGGUGGGAUAAAAGCUUACCAAGCCGACGAUCUGUAGCUGGUCUGAGAGGAUGAUCAGCCACACUGGGACUGAGACACGGCCCAGACUCCUACGGGAGGCAGCAGUGGGGAAUUUUGGACAAUGGGCGCAAGCCUGAUCCAGCCAUGCCGCGUGCAGGAUGAAGGCCUUCGGGUUGUAAACUGCUUUUGUACGGAACGAAAAGCCUUCUUCUAAUACAGGAGGGUCAUGACGGUACCGUAAGAAUAAGCACCGGCUAACUACGUG